Rhipicephalus sanguineus (brown dog tick) is the source of this 1889-nucleotide long non-coding RNA. RefSeq lists it as uncharacterized. NCBI's taxonomy places the organism in Eukaryota, Metazoa, Arthropoda, Arachnida, Ixodida, Ixodidae. The record is from RefSeq and is a predicted model, not a curated record. The transcript is spliced from 6 exons.
CUUCGUCCAUGCGGUCGACUUUUACCGCGCUGCCUCGCAUUGCGUGUUGUAUAUUGUGGUUACUGACGUAAGAGCAAGCUCUUCACUCGGUAUUAUACGCCGUACCGGGCAAAUAGUCACCAGAUGCCGGCCGUGCGACUCCAAUAUCCGCGACUCCUUUGUUCAGCGUGAACGACGGACGCGAUACAGUUUUGAAGAACACCUUCAAAUGAUUCCGCACGUCAGUGAGUAGCAGCGCCGCAAUCCUUUCUCGCCGACGUGCUCUGUGGCCCUGCAAAAUGCCUUGACGCUCUGGGAUGGCUGGACGCGGGUAGCUUGGCGAUUCCUCGCUUGGCGCAUCGCUUGAAAACCGCCGGUCAGCCUGCAGUGUACGCCGCCGGCGUGCUUUCUUGCCAGAGGUAGCAAACAGCAGUGCCACGACAAACAGAGGAGUGCUGACCAUGCAGUCCAGAUGGUGGCCGAGGCAAACAUGCCAAAAGGGGUGCUUAUUCAGGCAGAAGCAAUAAGCAUCUGUAGCCAACGUAAAGGAAGCAUCUUCAAAGAGCAGUGCUACAUGGAUGUGAGCAGCAGUCCCCCUUCAACGAACGGGUCAAAUUCAUGGAAGCCACGUGCCUGCUGCUUCUGGCCUACGCAAACAUGCAGGCACCAUAGUAAAGUUCUUGCAAAGAUGUGAGACAUCCGUAUGCUGCAUCAAUUGAGCAUGUUAAUUGCGUGUUUUUUAUAGCUUAUACUGAUAUGUAUACAAGUGUACUUCCUUGCAAUGUAUAUUUAAAUUCUCUUAAACGGCCAGUCAGCAGGCUCUGACCUCUUUUUUUUUUUACACCUCCCAAACAAGCUCGCUAAUUCGUAGAGAGGGCCGCACAAAUCACAUUGUGCGAAUAUCACAGACACUCCGCUUCUAAAAACAAUAACCGCGCCUCCUCUUCAGUCCUUGACCAGUCCUCUUUGGUAGCAAAGGGGUGUAAUGUUGCUCAUGAGCAACAUUAAAUAACGCUGAGUGUCGAAUAGUCCUCUGCAAUAUCAAACGGAAUUUUGGCUCUGCGAGGAUGCAGUAUAGGCUGUGUGGUUGUCACGAGUGUUAUGAAUUUAUCUUGCCAGUGCUUUGAACUGUGCUUCCUCACCACACAGCCCUGGCACAGUAGCACAUCGAGGAAGCCCCUCUUCACGAUGGUGAGACUGAGUGAGAAACUGAAACCAGCUGGAAUGUUUGUUUUGUCCCCUGUGGCUUCAUUAUUGCACCACUUAAUCAAAAUAUUCUUGGGGCAACAUGUUCACAUUGUACAAGCCUGCAGUUCUCACAAACGUUAGACUCCGGGGUCGUUUAGUGGCCCUUAAGCUUUAAUUUAUGAAUGGUAACUUCACAUGUAACGUGGCUUUCUUCUUUAUUUUUUCAAUGCUCAUUUCUAAAAUAGCAUGUCAGCUUCUGUCAGUCGGUAAUUUAUACAUUUAGCAUACAAAACUACCUAGUAUAUGCAAUAAGUGCCAUUAUGCAUUUUUCUUGGCACCAGAACCACCUUUUUGCCCUGUGGCAGCCAAAUGGAAGUUCAUUGCUAUGCUGCUUUGAUCUUUUCAAUCAAUGCAUUUCACAGUCCAGGUUGUUUGGUGUAUUUGCAUCUUGAGGUGUACAGACAUUCUACACAAACUUGUCCAAAGGCGCAAGGAAGGCACGCACAGAUGGACACAGAAAUCAUGGGACUUCCACAGAAGCUGUGAAUGAGCAUUAACCUAUGGAUGGAUGCUAUGGGUGUUCCCUUUAAAGCGAAGCACUGACAUACGUACAGAAAGGAGCGAAGUGGAGCUGCCAUGGGCUGUGCACACAGCUUCUAAGCAGGCUUACAACACCUUUGACAAUUAUGUUCUUGAAUAUAUCUGCAAAAGUGGCAUUUAAA